ACAUUGUGCCAUUGGGUCCUUUCCCUUUGGCACGUCUGGCUGAGGGUCGUAA
This 52-nucleotide ribosomal RNA is filed under the name Enterobius vermicularis (human pinworm). RNAcentral describes it as "partial 5.8S rRNA". Lineage: Eukaryota; Metazoa; Nematoda; Chromadorea; Rhabditida; Oxyuridae. The record is from RNAcentral.